RNAcentral lists this ribosomal RNA (442 nucleotides) under uncultured bacterium. RNAcentral's name for it is "SSU rRNA". It matches the Rfam family "Bacterial small subunit ribosomal RNA", at positions 26 to 518 of the family's 1533-position model. The record is from RNAcentral.
AGAGCGAACGCUGGCGGCAGGCCUAACACAUGCAAGUCGAGCGCCCCGCAAGGGGAGCGGCAGACGGGAGAGUAACACGUGGGAACGUGCCCUUUGGUUCGGAACAACACAGGGAAACUUGUGCUAAUACCGGAUAAGUCCGUAAGGAGAAAGAUUUAUCGCCAAAGGAUCGGCCCGCGUCUGAUUAGCUAGUUGGUGAGGUAACGGCUCACCAAGGCGACGAUCAGUAGCUGGUCUGAGAGGAUGAUCAGCCUCACUGGGACUGAGACACGGCCCAGACUCCUACGGGAGGCAGCAGUGGGGAAUAUUGGACAAUGGGCGCAAGCCUGAUCCAGCCAUGCCGCGUGGAUGAUGAAGGCCCUAGGGUUGUAAAGUCCUUUCGACGGGGAAGAUAAUGACGGUACCGUAGAAGAAGCCCGGCUAACUUCGCGCCAGCAGCCGC